Molecule: long non-coding RNA, 1216 nt
Organism: Anthonomus grandis grandis
Lineage: Eukaryota; Metazoa; Arthropoda; Insecta; Coleoptera; Curculionidae
Exons: 3
Source: RefSeq, a predicted model, not a curated record
GUAUACCCUAAAAAUAAAAAAUCCCGAAUUUUGGAGGUCCAUAUCUCGGCUUCUAUGGGCACUAUCGGGAUAAUUCCAACGGUUUUGACUUAGUUUCGUCCUUCUGAAUCCAACGAGACCAUCCGCAAGGUCGUAGCUCCCAUAUUAGCUGAGAUCUCGCAUUUUUGUGGCCUAUUUUUGGGCUCAAAAACGGGGUCGAAAAUUGACUUUUUUCCGAAUUUUCAAAGUGCUAUAAUUCCACUAGUUCUAGUCGAAUUCAGUUAUAAUCCAGUGUUUUCGUAAUGUAGGUGAUGGGAAUAAGCCGCUGAUAGGGAUUUCUAUAGCGAUUUUCGAGUUUAAAGAAAAUCGAUUUUUCGCAUUUUCAAAGUGCCAUAACUCCCUUAGUUUUUCUCGAAACUCAUUAUAACCCGGUGUUUUCGUGUUGUAGGUGAUGGGAUCAAGCCGCUGGUAUAGUUAGUUAAAAUUCGAAAAAAAUCAAUUUUUGGUGAAAAAUUCGAUACGGGGGGGUAUACCCUAAAAAUGAAAAAUCCCGAACUUUGGAGGUCCAUAUCUCGGCUUCUAUGGGCACUAUCGGGAUAAUUCCAACGGUUUUGACUUAGUUUCGUCCUUCUGAAUCCAACGAGACCAUCCGCAAGGUCGUAGCUCCCAUAUUAGCUGAGAUCUCGCAUUUUUGUGGCCCAUUUUUGGGCUCAAAAACGGGGUCGAAAAUUGACUUUUUUCCGAAUUUUCAAAGUGCUAUAAUUCCACUAGUUCUAGUCGAAUUCAGUUAUAAUCCGGUGUUUUCGUAAUGUAGGUGAUGGGAAUAAGCCGCUGAUAGGGAUUUCGAUAGCGAUUUUCGAGUUUAAAGAAAAUCGAUUUUUCGCAUUUUCAAAGUGCCAUAACUCCCUUAGUUUUUCUCGAAACUCAUUAUAACCCGGUGUUUUCGUGUUGUAGGUGAUGGGAUCAAGCCGCUGGUAGAGUUAUUUCAAAUUCGAAAAAAAUCAAUUUUUGGUGAAAAAUUCGAUACGGGGGGGUAUACCCUAAAAAUGAAAAAUCCCGAACUUUGGAGGUCCAUAUCUCGGCUUCUAUGGGCACUAUCGGGAUAAUUCCAACGGUUUUGACUUAGUUUCGUCCUUCUGAAUCCAACGAGACCACCCGCAAGGUCGUAGCUCCCAUAUUAGCUGAGAUCUUGCAUUUUUGUAGCCCAUUUUUGGGCUCAAAAACGGGGUCGAAAAUU